GCUAACUCGGUGCCAGCGUCCGCGGUAAUACGGGGGGUGCAAGCGUUUGCCGGAUUUAUUGGGUUUAAAGGGUCCGUAGGCGGACCGGUAAGUCAGUGGUGAAAGCCUACAGCUUAACUGUAGAACUGCCGUUGAUACUGUCGGUCUUGAGUGUGGUUGAGGUAGCUGGAAUGAGUAGUGUAGCGGUGAAAUGCAUAGAUAUUACUCAGAACACCAAUUGCGAAGGCAGGUUACCAAGUCACAACUGACGCUGAUGGACGAAAGCGUGGGGAGCGAACAGGAUUAGAUACCCCGGUAGUC
RNAcentral lists this ribosomal RNA (300 nucleotides) under uncultured Lactobacillus sp. RNAcentral describes it as "bacterial SSU rRNA". It matches the Rfam family "Bacterial small subunit ribosomal RNA", at positions 496 to 795 of the family's 1533-position model. The record is from RNAcentral. Lineage: Bacteria; Bacillati; Bacillota; Bacilli; Lactobacillales; Lactobacillaceae.